AACGGAGAGGGCGAGUGUUACUCAUAAUGACUGGGCGUAAAGGGUAUGUAGGCUGUUAGGUAAGCGGUUAGUGAAAUCAAAGAGUAAUGCCUUUAAACGCUUUCUGAACUACCUAACUUUGAGUGUUACUAAGGAUACUGGUACUUUUAAAGGAGAGGUGAUAUUCUAUGAUCUUAAGAGGACAACCGAAGGCGAAGGCAAGUAUCUGGGUGGCACUGACGCUGAGGUACUGAAGCGUGGGGAGCAAAUCGG
RNAcentral lists this ribosomal RNA (252 nucleotides) under uncultured bacterium. RNAcentral describes it as "partial 16S ribosomal RNA". It matches the Rfam family "Bacterial small subunit ribosomal RNA", at positions 524 to 776 of the family's 1533-position model. The record is from RNAcentral.